AGUGAACGCUGGCGGUAGGCCUAACACAUGCAAGUCGAACGGCAGCACAGUAAGAGCUUGCUCUUACGGGUGGCGAGUGGCGGACGGGUGAGGAAUACAUCGGAAUCUACUUUUUCGUGGGGGAUAACGUAGGGAAACUUACGCUAAUACCGCAUACGACCUACGGGUGAAAGCAGGGGAUCUUCGGACCUUGCGCGAUUGAAUGAGCCGAUGUCGGAUUAGCUAGUUGGCGGGGUAAAGGCCCACCAAGGCGACGAUCCGUAGCUGGUCUGAGAGGAUGAUCAGCCAAACUUGAACUGAGACACGGUCCCGACUCCUACGGGAGGCAGCAGUGGGGAAUAUUGGACAAUGGGCGCAAGCCUGAUCCAGCCAUACCGCGUGGGUGAAGAAGGCCUUCGGGUUGUAAAGCCCUUUUGUUGGGAAAGAAAAGCAGCAGGUUAAUACCCCGCUGUUCUGACGGUACCCAAAGAAUAAGCACCGGCUAACUUCGUG
Molecule: ribosomal RNA, 492 nt
Filed under: uncultured bacterium
Lineage: Bacteria
Description: partial 16S ribosomal RNA
Rfam family: Bacterial small subunit ribosomal RNA
Source: RNAcentral